UACGGGGGGGGCAAGCGUUGUUCGGAAUUACUGGGCGUAAAGGGCUCGUAGGCGGCCAACUAAGUCAGACGUGAAAUCCCCAGGCUUAACCUGGGAACUGCAUCCGAUACUGGAUGGCUUGAAUCCGGGAGAGGGAUGCAGAAUUCCAGGUGUAGCGGUGAAAUGCGUAGAUAUCUGGAGGAAUACCGGUGGCGAAGGCGGCAUCCUGGACCGGCAUUGACGCUGAGUGAGCGAAAGCUAGGGGAGCAAACGGG
Molecule: ribosomal RNA, 254 nt
Filed under: uncultured bacterium
Lineage: Bacteria
Description: partial 16S ribosomal RNA
Rfam family: Bacterial small subunit ribosomal RNA
Source: RNAcentral